GUAUUUUUUAAGAUUGUGGUAAAAUAUAUAUAACAUAAAAUUUACUAUGGCACAGCAAGUUUAAGGAUCCAGCACUGUCACUGCAGCGGCUCAGGUUGCUGCUGUGGUGCAGGUUCAGUCCCUGGCCUGGAAACUUCCACGUGCCAUGGGCAUGACCAAAAAAAAUUUUUCUUUUACCACUUUAAUGAAGUUUAACUGUACAGUUAAGGGGCGUUAAGUAUGUUCAAAUUGUGCAACCAUCACCACUUACCCAUCGUGAAAUUUUCCUUCUUUCCAAAUUAAAGCUCUGUACCCAUUAAACACUAACUCCUCAUUCUCUCCUUGGAUUAUUUGUUUUCCUCCUUGGAGUAUUUUUAUAACAGCUGCUUUAAGGUCUUUUUCAGCUCAUUCCAACAUUUUGGUGUUGGCAUCUCUUCAUUGUCUUUUCCCAUGGGAGUUGAGCUUUUCCUGCUCCUUUGUAUUGUAGUAAUUUGUCCUGGACGUUUUGAAUAUUAUGUUAUGAGCUCUGAGUCUCACUUAAAUCCUACAGAGAACAUUAACAUUUUUGUCUUAGCAGGUCACUGGCCAAGUGGGUUCAGCUCCACCUGCCUUCUGUGGGGUUUGGUUCCAGUGUCAAUCCUCUUUUGUUUUGAUUUGAUUUGUUUUUUGCCUUUUUGGGACUGCCCGUGGCAUAUGGAGGUUCCCAGGCUAGAAGUGGAAUCAGAGCUACAGCUGCCAGCCUACACCACAGCCACAGCAGCACAGGAUCCGGGCCACAUCUGAGACCUACACAACAGCUCACGGCAACGCCAGAUCCUUAACUCAUUGAGCAAGGCCAGGGAUUGAACCCACGUCCUCAUGGAUACUAGUUGGGUUCGUUAACCACUGAGCCACGACGGAAACUCCUCAGUCCUGUUUUUAAAGCCUCUGCAGUGCCAUGUGCAUCCGCUCUGUACUCGCCGUGCUGCUUGCGCUCUAGUCCAGAAGGCAGGCCAUGGCCUCACUCAUGCUUCAUUGCUCAGCCUCUGUGGUUAGCUGUUUAGGUUAGAUCCAGUCAUAUGCAGCUAGCAGGUGAGCCCAGAGGUCCGUAAAUUACCUUAUGAAGUGGCUUUCCCAAACUCCUCCCUCACUGCUCCCUCCGUGGGACUCUGGUUCCCUGGGGCUUUUUUUACUCGGCUCUGAUGAGCAUUUCCCACAACUGCACCCAAGUAGGGGGCAAAUCAACAAGGGUUCAUCCCAGCAUCUCAAGACCAUAGCUCCUCCAAUUAGAGGAAGGUUCACCUUCCUCAUAGCUUCAGGCUCCCGUAGACACCUGCCACCAUCCCUGCCACCAUGGGUGGCCUGGGGACUAGGACACAAGAAGAUGGAGAGAAGAAAGAAAAUAGGGAUGUCCCCUAGUUUUGUUUUGUUUUGUUUUUUUAGGGCAGCAUGUGGAAGUUUCAGGCUGGGGGUCUAAUUGGCGCUAUAGCUGCUGGCCUGCACUACAGUCAUAGCAAUGCCAGAUCUGAGCCACAUCUGCGACCUACACCACAGCUCAUGGCAGUGCCAGAUCCUUAACCUGCUGAGCAAGGCCAGGAUCGAAUCCACGUCCUCAUGGAUUCUAGUCAGAUUCAUUACCACUGAACCACGACAGGAACUCCUCCAGUUUUUUUGAGUGUUAGGGAGCCUCUUUCCUAGCCACAGCAGUGACAACAUGGGAUCCUUAACCCACUAAGCCACCAGGGAACUCCAGCUGAUGUUCACUUCUACAUUUGGGACUGCACUGAGACAGCCCAGGGAAUACCAGAGGGGGAAAAAAGUAUAAACUCGCUGCCAGGUUGCUGGUACUUUGAUUGCUGGCCUUCCCCAAUCUGCCAGUUAAGACUGAUUUUUCUGAGCUCUCAAGAGCUUGAAGCCCUCUGUCCAGGGUUUGCAGCUGCAUUCAGCAGCAGAAGCAGGAUGGAGACUGCUUCUCCAUCUUGCUGGAACUGGAGGCACUACCUCAGGUUCCCCAUCAAUCCCCCAGCUAUCUAGUGGACAAUGGACUGAUGGGAGGCUGGGUUGGAAGCAAGAGGUGUGUGAGGAUGUUUGGAGAAGCUUCACAGAGAUGGCCCCUGGGUUGAGUCUUAAAGAUGAGUGGCUGUUUUCAUUCAGGGCAGAGGGAUUAGUGUGAGUGAUGUCUUAGGGGGGCAUAAGACUAUGUAAGGAAGUCUGGGGUGAGGGUACCAGGAGGGGGCAGGAUGCAGGGUGAGAACCCUCAGAGAGAAGGCUAAGGACUAGACUGGGACUACACGAUGGAGGGGAGUGGUUGAUUUUUGAUUUCUAUGGGUCGAAGAAAAAGGCCAGGUAAUGUUUUCCACUGGUGUACAAGAAGGGGAAUCCCCCACCCCCAGACCUGAGACAGGAUGUGGGGAUGCUCGUGGGUGACACAGGCCUUAGCAGGGAAAGGCGGCAUCUAAGCUGAAAAGGCCUAGUUCCUGUGGGGAAGAAGGACGUAUUACAGGCUGAAAGGGAAUGCCAUACUGCUGCAGCCUUUCUUAGAUCAGAUGAUAUAUAAGAGGAGCCUAGGAGAUACCUGCUUCUGUAUCCAAGAUAAUAAAACCUGGAGUUCCCGCUGUGGCACAAUGGGAUCGGCAGUGUCUCUGGAGCACUUGGAUGCAGGUUCGAUCCCCAGCGCAGCACAGUGGGUUAAGGAGCCAGCUUUAAGCAUGUUGCAGUUCAUAUCCGAUCCCUGGCCUGGGAACUCCAUAUGC
Molecule: long non-coding RNA, 2711 nt
Filed under: Sus scrofa (pig)
Lineage: Eukaryota; Metazoa; Chordata; Mammalia; Artiodactyla; Suidae
Description: lncRNA (ENSSSCG00050027152.1)
Source: RNAcentral